UUUCCUGUGGCUCAGUUGGUAGAGCAUUGCGCUAACAACGCAAAAGUCGUGUUUUCAAUCCCAGGGAAA
Molecule: non-coding RNA, 69 nt
Organism: Danionella cerebrum
Lineage: Eukaryota; Metazoa; Chordata; Actinopteri; Cypriniformes; Danionidae
Source: the annotation of a GenBank genome assembly